This 400-nucleotide ribosomal RNA is filed under the name uncultured bacterium. RNAcentral describes it as "bacterial SSU rRNA". It matches the Rfam family "Bacterial small subunit ribosomal RNA", at positions 355 to 769 of the family's 1533-position model. The record is from RNAcentral.
UCGAGAAUCUUCCGCAAUGGGCGCAAGCCUGACGGAGCGAUGCCGCGUGAGGGACGAAGGUCUUCGGAUUGUAAACCUCUGUCACCGUGGAGGAACAGAAUGACUGUACACGGAGAGGAAGUCACGGCUAACUACGUGCCAGCAGCCGCGGUAAUACGUAGGUGACUAGCGUUGUUCGGAUUUAUUGGGCGUAAAGGGUCCGCAGGGGGUCGGCUAAGUCUGAUGUGAAAUCCCGAAGCUUAACUUCGGAACUGCAUUGGAAACUGGCCGGCUAGAGCAUCGGAGAGGAGAGUGGAAUUCCAGGUGUAGCGGUGGAAUGCGUAGAUAUCUGGAAGAACACCAAAGGCGAAGGCAGCUCUCUGGACGAUCGCUGACCCUCAGGGACGAAAGCAUGGGGAGC